UGCAGGAAUGAAAAUUAUACGUGACGUUAAAGAGUUGUAACGUUAAAAAGAUGAUAUUGCUUAAAAUUGUUUAAUUAUUGGUACUUAAAAUUGUUUAAUUAUUGGUACUUGAAUCUGACUUUAAACCGGUUUAACACAAACAUACAAUUACAAUAAUCAAUACCAGGGUACAUGUAUCAUGCUGGAAAAUUACGAAUGUGUCAGACGAAUUAUUUUGUUUUUCAUAGAAGAUAAACAAAAUCAUCGAGCUUUGCAGAACGAUGAAUCAGAAUGACUGAAUGACACUAAGUUUUGCAAAAUGGAUAUAUCCCUAACUUCCAUGGCCUUCGACAUAUUUGAGUGGGAUCCAGAAACAACCCCUGACACAACAACUUAAUUUACAAGAACAACCCUGCGUAUAAGAAUAACAAUACUUCUGACAAAAACAAACAAAAGCAACUCCAGAUUUAUGAACAACUCUGAUUACUAGAACAUGAACACCAACCCCAUCUUCAAGAACAACAACUUCAACCCCAGAACAUCAACACUUCCUGCAGGGACAACUACAAAAACAUCAGCUUCAAGAACAAAUUCAUCCUAAACACAAACAUCAGCAACAACAGCUACCUGAAUAAAACUACUCGAACUACAAGAACACCAGCAACACACUCUUUAAGAACACCAGCAUCAUCAUCUUCUUCUAGACUUGCAAAUGCAACAAACACCAAAGACAAAGUUGAAUGGCUAACUUCAAUGGAGAGGACAUAGUAAUGGCAAAAAGAGUAUCAUUUUAAAGAGAGGAGGAAGAGGGAUAUGUAAAGAGUGUUCUGAGGCCAGGAUAUCAGCAGUGCGUUCAGUCAGGCGAGCGUUUACAAAACGCUCGCAAACGUUUUGUUUUGUAUCUCUGUUGCAACGCAGCGCAUAUACGUUAAGCGGGAAACCAAACAGCAAACGUUCGCCGCAAACAUCUUUACUGAACACGUUGCAGAUUCACAAUGGGGGAGGGGGGGGGGGGGCGGUGGAACAAUUUUCGAGAAUUAUUGACAUACAUGUGUAUAAAUAUAUAUAUAUCAUUGUAGGAACUGUUUGCCUUGUCAACUGUGACUUAAAUAUUUAGUUCUUGUGUCAGCCUGUGCUUAUCUCAAAUAUUUAAUGACAUUUUUUUGGUUUGUUUGAUAGACAUGAUAAUUAUAUAACUAUUAAAUAUAAAUGGCAACAAUUAUAGAUAAAACAUUGUAACUCAGGUUAACUUUAUAAUAGAUAAUUAAUUGUUUAUAUGCAAUAUAUAUUUAAGGAUGCAUAUUUCUUUUAUUCUUGAAUCUAUUUUUUGUGUGUUUUUUUCAUAUAUCAAAAAUAUUUUUCAUGAAUGUGGGUUUUUAAUUCUUUGUCAGUCUCAGAAGAAUUAAACAACUUGUGUUGAAUUUAUUUGCUAGACUGAAACUAUAGGCUGUUAAUAUUGGUCAGACUAAUUGAAUCAGAGAAUAACAUAUACAGCUAAUCGGAUUACUGACCAAUAGAGUGAAUUUAGUCAAUGAUGUAUGACCCUAAGAUUAAGAUUGACUUAAAGCUGCACUCUCACAGAUUGAAGUGAACUUCUUUAUUUUUUGGCUUAGAAAGAGCCAAUUUAUGCGAAAAUGCAUGAAAAAUAGUGUCAGAAGACUGCAUACUUUCUUAUCUAAGUUCAAGAAGUGAUGUCGAAUGCCAUUACAUUAAUUUUCGAACAGAAAUCUACAAAUCUGCGAUCUGAUCUUUUGUCAGCAGUCUGAUUUGCAAAAAAGAAUGUAGAAAUUUGCUC
Molecule: long non-coding RNA, 1774 nt
Organism: Mya arenaria
Lineage: Eukaryota; Metazoa; Mollusca; Bivalvia; Myida; Myidae
Exons: 3
Source: RefSeq, a predicted model, not a curated record